This 460-nucleotide ribosomal RNA is filed under the name uncultured bacterium. Its description in RNAcentral is "partial 16S ribosomal RNA". It matches the Rfam family "Bacterial small subunit ribosomal RNA", at positions 338 to 795 of the family's 1533-position model. The record is from RNAcentral.
CCUACGGGAGGCAGCAGUGAGGAAUAUUGGUCAAUGGGCGCGAGCCUGAACCAGCCAAGUCGCGUGAGGGAGGACGGCCCUACGGGUUGUAAACCUCUUUUGCCGGGGAGCAACGGGCGUCACGUGUGGCGCCACUGAGAGUACCCGGAGAAAAAGCAUCGGCAAAUUCCGUGCCAGCAGCCGCGGUAAUACGGGGGAUGCGAGCGUUAUCCGGUUUUAUUGGGUUUAAGGGGUGCGUAGGCGGAUCGUUAAGUCAGUGGUCAAAUUGAGGGGCUCAACCCCUUCCCGCCAUUGAAACUGGCGUUCUUGAGUGGAGGAGAGGUAUGCGGAAUGCGUGGUGUAGCGGUGAAAUGCAUAGAUAUCACGCAGAACCCCGAUUGCGAAGGCAGCAUGCCGGCUUCCGACUGACGCUGAAGCACGAAAGCGUGGGGAUCGAACAGGAUUAGAUACCCUGGUAGUC